RNAcentral lists this ribosomal RNA (421 nucleotides) under uncultured bacterium. RNAcentral's name for it is "bacterial SSU rRNA". It matches the Rfam family "Bacterial small subunit ribosomal RNA", at positions 917 to 1344 of the family's 1533-position model. The record is from RNAcentral.
GGGCCCGCACAAGCGGUGGAGCAUGUGGUUUAAUUCGAAGAUACGCGAAAAACCUUACCAGGUCUUGACAUCCCUUGCAAUGCUGUAGAGAUACAGUGGAGGUUAUCAAGGAGACAGGUGGUGCAUGGUUGUCGUCAGCUCGUGUCGUGAGAUGUUGGGUUAAGUCCCGCAACGAGCGCAACCCUUAUUGCUAGUUGCCAUCAUUUAGUUGGGGACUCUAGCGAGACUGCCAGUGAUAAACUGGAGGAAGGUGGGGAUGACGUCAAAUCAUCAUGCCCCUUAUGACCUGGGCUACAAACGUGAUACAAUGGCUAUUACAGAGGGCCGCAAAGCUGUGAAGUGAAGCUAAACCCUUAAAAUAGUCUCAGUUCGGAUUGAAGUCUGCAACUCGACUUCAUGAAGCCGGAAUCGCUAGUAAUCG